UGAUUGUGUGCACAUAUAGGGUUUUACAACUUAGACUUCAUAAAGAAAGGUGGGGUCAGUCUAGGGGGUCAUUCUAGGGUUGCUCAAGGUUCAUCGGGAAAGUCAUUCUAUUUCAUAAUGUUUUUCUGUACCUCUUCCGAAAAAUACCAUCAUUACACUAAUUGUUACUUACUAUUUCUCUCAUCCAUUCAAUUAGGUUCAUCUUCCAAAUUUUAUUUAUUAACCAAACAGCAAGCUAUGAAGCUACAAAUUUAACAGCAACUUAACUUUGUCAUUAAUAAGUUAUUGCAUAACUUUGAGAUCCAUUGGAGGUGCACAAAAAUGAUUGACAUUGUUUUAUCACCCUAAGGUAGCAUGUAAUUUAACUAUUUUGAAACACAAACCACAAUGAAUCUGGGUAUGAAAUUUUAAC
This 412-nucleotide long non-coding RNA is filed under the name Setaria viridis. RNAcentral's name for it is "long non-coding RNA (SVIR_LNC003412)". Lineage: Eukaryota; Viridiplantae; Streptophyta; Magnoliopsida; Poales; Poaceae. The record is from RNAcentral.